AUCCCCAUCCCAUCCCAUCCAAUCCAUCCUAUAUCCCCACCCCGUCCCAUCCCAUCCCAUCCAUCCCAUAUCCCCAUCCCAUCCCCAUCCCAUAUCCUCAUCCCCAUCUCCAUCCCCAUCUGAUCCCGAUCCCAGUCCUGAUCCCAUCCCAUUCCCACCCCAUUCCCAUUCCCACCCCAUUCCACUGGGAUGGAAAUGGGACUGAGGUGGAAACGGGAAAGGGGUGGAAAUGGGAGGGGGAUAGGAAUGGGAUUGGGGUGGGAGUGGGAAUGGGGAUGGCAUGGGAAUGGGAUUGGCGUGGGAAUGGGAUGGAAAUGGGAGUGGGAUGGGAAUUGGACUGGGAUGGGAAUGGGAUGGAAAUGGGAAUGGGAUGGAAAUGGGAAUGGGGAUGGGAUGGGAUGGGAAUGGGAGUGGGGUGGAAAUGGGGAUGGGGAUGGGAUGGGAGUGGGACUGGGGUGGAGAUGGGAAUGGGAUUGGAGUGAGAAUGGGAUGGAAAUGGGAGUGGGAUGGGAAUUGGACUUGGAUGGGAUUGGGAAUGGGAUUGGAGUUGGAAUGGGAUGGAAAUGGCAUUGGGAUGGGAAUGGGAAUGGGAUGGAGAUGGGACUGAGAUGGAAAUGGGGAUGGGAAUUGGACUGGGAUGGGAAUGGGACUGGGGUGGAGAUGGGAAUGGGAAUGGGAUGGAAAUGGGGAUGGGAUGGAAAUGGGACUGGAAUUGGAGUGGGAAUGGGAUGGAAAUGAGAAUGGGAUGGGAAUGGGGAUGGGAUGGGAAUGGGAGUGGGGUGAAAAUGGGGAUGGGAUGGAAAUGGGAGUGGGAAUGGGAUGGAAAUGGGGAUGGGAUGGAAAUGGGAGUGUGAUGGGAAUAGGGAUGGGAUGGAAAUGGGAAUGGCAUUGGAAUGGGGCCGGGAUGCUCCGUCACAGGGAUGCUCCGUCACAGGGCUGCUCGUCAGGCUGGGCUGUUAAUUGCAAGGCACACCGCUGUCUAUCGUUGCCCGCAUCUCCACUGGCUUUGGGUGCUGCUCUGCUGCAGCCCUCGGCCCCAUUCUGUGCACGGGGGCAGGAAUUGCACCGCGUCCCUAUCAGCACCCAGCGCUGCCAGCAGGGAGGGAGUGGAUCUGCGCACGGGGAUGGGUGCAGGGCGAGGGUGGGGGCGCAGGGGGAGGGUGGGGGUCUUUUGGGGGUACGGUGGGGGUUGUGGGGGCACCCCAGGCAUCCCAUGGCAUUAAGGGGCACAGCUGACCUCUUGGAGAUGGGGUGGGGGGCCCACGUGGGGCUGCGAUGGGUGCUGAUGUGGGGCUGUGAUGGGUGCCAGUGUGGGGCUGUGAUUGGUGCUGAUGUGGGGCUGCGAUGGGUGCUGAUGUGGAGCUUCAGUGGGUGC
This 1375-nucleotide long non-coding RNA is filed under the name Phasianus colchicus (ring-necked pheasant). RNAcentral's name for it is "lncRNA (ENSPCLG00000017258.1)". The record is from RNAcentral. Lineage: Eukaryota; Metazoa; Chordata; Aves; Galliformes; Phasianidae.